This 482-nucleotide long non-coding RNA is filed under the name Columba livia (rock pigeon). Its description in RNAcentral is "partial uncharacterized LOC102091515". The record is from RNAcentral. Lineage: Eukaryota; Metazoa; Chordata; Aves; Columbiformes; Columbidae.
UAUUGCCAUUGGGGUUUUACCUCCUCUCCUCUCUCAUUGCGUGAUGUGAAACAUUGAUACCAGCUCCCAAGGGCAGUGCUGAUGUGAAGCCACGUUGAUCAAUAAACAGCUCUUGACAGGACCGGAAGGGUGCGAUAUGAACUACUAGAUACAUACAAGAUACAGACAUUGGAAAAACAAAGAGCUCCUUCGCACCUUCUCUGCUCUGCCAGUUGCAGUGUCACACUGGGCCAGGAUGAAGAACUUCCACUACUUCAGGUAACUGCAACCGUUGCGCCGCUAUCCCCGCUUGAUCACGUGCAACAGCAUCACUAAUAACAGAAACAGUUACUUGAGUAUCUCUGGUUGGAGGUGCUUGUUUGUAUGUGAAUGCUGAUGUGUGGGUGAGAGAUCCUCAGCCUCAUGUGAAAAAACUCAACGUCUCAGCCCCACAGCCUGUCUGCGAGCUUCCCACUGUCUCUCAUAGAAGUUCGUUCCUCGCC